This 253-nucleotide unclassified non-coding RNA is filed under the name uncultured Caryophanales bacterium. Its description in RNAcentral is "uncultured Bacillales bacterium contains 16S-23S intergenic spacer region". It matches the Rfam family "Bacterial small subunit ribosomal RNA", at positions 524 to 776 of the family's 1533-position model. The record is from RNAcentral. Lineage: Bacteria; Bacillati; Bacillota; Bacilli; Caryophanales.
UACGUAGGGGGCAAGCGUUGUCCGGAAUUAUUGGGCGUAAAGCGCGCGCAGGCGGUCCUUUAAUUCUGAUGUGAAAUCUUGCGGCUCAACCGCAAGCGGUCAUUGGAAACUGGCGGGCUUGAGUACAGACGAGGUAGGCGGAAUUGACAAUGUAGCGGUGAAAUGCAUAGAUAUUAUCAGGAACUCCGAUUGCGAAGGCAGCUUACUAGGCUGUAACUGACGCUGAGGAGCGAAAGCAUGGGGAGCGAACAGG